Molecule: ribosomal RNA, 301 nt
Filed under: uncultured bacterium
Lineage: Bacteria
Description: partial 16S ribosomal RNA
Rfam family: Bacterial small subunit ribosomal RNA
Source: RNAcentral
CAGUAGCCGCGGGAAUACGAAGGGUGCAAGCGUCAAUCGGAAUUACUGGGCGUAAAGCGUGCGUAGGCGGUGAGUUAAGUCUGCUGUGAAAUCCCCGGGCUCAACCUGGGAAUGGCAAUGGAAACUGGACGGCUAGAGUGUGUCAGAGGAUGGUGGAAUUCCCGGUGUAGCGGUGAAAUGCGUAGAGAUCGGGAGGAACAUCAGUGGCGAAGGCGGCCAUCUGGGACAACACUGACGCUGAAGCACGAAAGCGUGGGGAGCAAACAGGAUUAGAUACCCGCGUAGUCCCUGUCUCUUAUAU